AACGGCUUCCUGUGUGUAAGGGCUCCCCGGUUCUCCAGGGAAGGUUCAGUCUCUUGAUUUGACUGCCUCUCUCUGGUUGCCUGCAGUCUUCUCCGCCUCCUGCUGAUGGAGACCCCUUGCUUAGCAAGUUAGCCAGUAGCACAAAAAUGGCAGGAAAGGAUGCGUGAUGAGCGGCAUCUUCCUACGUCACUAUUUCAGCACCGCGGACAGCAUGCCGCCUGGACAGUUGUGUUGGCAGCCCUGCAGCUCCAUUACCAUCCACAGAGGGGCAGCGCAGCAGUUUGCAGCCACUGUGGACCAGGGAGAGAAAAUGAAAUAAAUGUGGGGAUAAAUCAGGAAAACCGGCACACAUGAAGAAGAGGUCACACCCAGAGUGUCGUUGCUAGGAUACAGCAUCUGAAGCAUCAUGGAGGGGUGGUACCGGGGUACUCCAUCUUCAGCCCCCCCACCACCGUGAUCCUGCUUCCUCCCCUCUGUCCCCCCCCCCCCCCUGCCACUUCCCCCUGGGGUUUGGCUGAAUGGCCUGGGCUGACAGGGGCUGAAUGGUUCGGGGUGACAGGGGGGUGGUGUCCUAUUUGUCCCUAAAUGCUUCUCUAUAGACCCCUGAUAAUAGACUGGCUGCCUGUUCCCCUUCCCCACCCACCCCACCAAACCUCCGCCGCCACCUUGACCCACUCUGUCUCUGUCUCCUUGUCUCAUUGUCUCCCUCCUCAUCCCCUCUGUCUCGCUUUCCUCCCUAUCAUGCCUCCUUCUCUUCCUAUCUCUUUCUCUGUCUCUCUUUUUCCUUUUUCUUUCUGCUGCUGCACUUCUCCAGGUAUAACGGCACUGGGUUAAGUCCUCUGAUGUAUAAGCAUUCUUUGCUGCUUGUUAGAUCGUCCGUGUGCUGCGUUCAAGUGUCGGCAGUGUACAUGUAGAAGCAGAAGGUCACUGCUUAUUACUCACCUCUCCAGCUCCUCAGCAUUGUCCAGCAGCUCCGGCUCUGCCAGUGUAAGUAGGAGCUGCUUUUGAUGUUGGUCUUUCAUGCUUUGUCGGGAGACAUAGCUGAGGAUACCUUUGAUGACUGCAGGCCUGUUAGUCAGGCUGUGUGAUAAAUGAGAGAUCCGACAUUAAAAAAAAAAAAAAAAGGCUUUUCCUUAACUUCCUGUGAUCAAAUAAUAAAGCGAUGAAACCGUUUCGAGCAGAAGCUUUGAAAAACAUACCAAGAUCAAGCCUCUCUCUGUGUUCACCACACACUCAAAAGGAAGGCACAAAGAGAGGUCACCAACCUGCAUCUGGAUCACCCUCUGCUUAGUGGAUUCACUUCAUCACAUGUUUGUGUGCUUUCACAGUGAAAAAAAAAAUCUGUUUACUAACUUGAAUGUGCAUGAGUGCAUGCUUGAUUUUAUAUACAUCUGUGUCUAUGUGGGAGCAUGCACGCCUGUGUUAGGGGUCAGGAGUGAAGAUGUUACCCUCUGGUCAUUCAUCACAAGCGUGACACACUCUCCCCUGCGCUCCGGUACGCAGAGGCAAUGUUUUAUAAAAGAAUAACACGUCAGCGGGCACCCGCCGGCCAUCCAUUACCACCCCGUACAACCUGCAAAGAUGUAUAAUAGACUCACAGAUCUCAUGCACUCGCUGCGCAACAUACUUGUUGUCUGCAUAUACUUCAACACUCAUUGUCCUGCUAUUUUUUGUUUUAGAGGUUAUUGUAAUAACAUUUAUUGACUAUAAAAUUCUGCUUCCUUUUGCACUGCGAUUGAUUUGUCAAAGAAAAGUGCUCUACAAAUAAGAUUAAUAUUAUUAUAUUAUUAUGACUGCGUGAGAUUUGUGUUGUAGGUAGAAAGAGGCAGAUGAUAAAGGGAAUGGGUAGGUUUAAGACACAAUCCAGAAGCAGAGUUGGUGUAUGGGACCUGAGUAGACUGUCAAUCAUAUUGUAUUUAUGCAAAUAUACAAUAUGCCUCCACAUUAUGA
Sander lucioperca (pikeperch) is the source of this 1950-nucleotide long non-coding RNA. RefSeq lists it as uncharacterized. The record is from RefSeq and is a predicted model, not a curated record. NCBI's taxonomy places the organism in Eukaryota, Metazoa, Chordata, Actinopteri, Perciformes, Percidae. The transcript has 3 exons.